ACGGGAAGAGCCCAAACCAACAAGCUUGCUUGUUGGGGUUGUAGGACACUCUAUACGGAGUUACAAAGGACGACAUUAGACGAAUCAUCUGGAAAGAUGAAUCAAAGAAGGUAAUAAUCCUGUAGUCGAAAAUGUUGUCUCUCUUGAGUGGAUCCUGAGUACGACGGAGCACGUGAAAUUCCGUCGGAAUCUGGGAGGACCAUCUCCUAAGGCUAAAUACUCUCUAGUGACCGAUAGUGAACCAGUACCGUGAGGGAAAGGUGAAAAGCACCCCGGAAGGGGAGUGAAAUAGAACCUGAAACCGUGUGCUUACAAGUAGUCAGAGCCCGUUAAUGGGUGAUGGCGUGCCUUUUGUAGAAUGAACCGGCGAGUUACGAUUUGAUGCAAGGUUAAGCAGUAAAUGUGGAGCCGUAGCGAAAGCGAGUCUGAAUAGGGCGUUUAGUAUUUGGUCGUAGACCCGAAACCAGGUGAUCUACCCUUGGUCAGGUUGAAGUUCAGGUAACACUGAAUGGAGGACCGAACCGACUUACGUUGAAAAGUGAGCGGAUGAACUGAGGGUAGCGGAGAAAUUCCAAUCGAACCUGGAGAUAGCUGGUUCUCUCCGAAAUAGCUUUAGGGCUAGCCUCAAGUGAUGAUUAUUGGAGGUAGAGCACUGUUUGGACGAGGGGCCCCUCUCGGGUUACCGAAUUCAGACAAACUCCGAAUGCCAAUUAAUUUAACUUGGGAGUCAGAACAUGGGUGAUAAGGUCCGUGUUCGAAAGGGAAACAGCCCAGACCACCAGCUAAGGUCCCAAAAUAUAUGUUAAGUGGAAAAGGAUGUGGCGUUGCCCAGACAACUAGGAUGUUGGCUUAGAAGCAGCCAUCAUUUAAAGAGUGCGUAAUAGCUCACUAGUCGAGUGACACUGCGCCGAAAAUGUACCGGGGCUAAACAUAUUACCGAAGCUGUGGAUUGUCCUUUGGACAAUGGUAGGAGAGCGUUCUAAGGGCGUUGAAGCAUGAUCGUAAGGACAUGUGGAGCGCUUAGAAGUGAGAAUGCCGGUGUGAGUAGCGAAAGACGGGUGAGAAUCCCGUCCACCGAUUGACUAAGGUUUCCAGAGGAAGGCUCGUCCGCUCUGGGUUAGUCGGGUCCUAAGCUGAGGCCGACAGGCGUAGGCGAUGGAUAACAGGUUGAUAUUCCUGUACCACCUAUAAUCGUUUUAAUCGAUGGGGGGACGCAGUAGGAUAGGCGAAGCGUGCGAUUGGAUUGCACGUCUAAGCAGUAAGGCUGAGUAUUAGGCAAAUCCGGUACUCGUUAAGGCUGAGCUGUGAUGGGGAGAAGACAUUGUGUCUUCGAGUCGUUGAUUUCACACUGCCGAGAAAAGCCUCUAGAUAGAAAAUAGGUGCCCGUACCGCAAACCGACACAGGUAGUCAAGAUGAGAAUUCUAAGGUGAGCGAGCGAACUCUCGUUAAGGAACUCGGCAAAAUGACCCCGUAACUUCGGGAGAAGGGGUGCUCUUUAGGGUUAACGCCCAGAAGAGCCGCAGUGAAUAGGCCCAAGCGACUGUUUAUCAAAAACACAGGUCUCUGCUAAACCGUAAGGUGAUGUAUAGGGGCUGACGCCUGCCCGGUGCUGGAAGGUUAAGAGGAGUGGUUAGCUUCUGCGAAGCUACGAAUCGAAGCCCCAGUAAACGGCGGCCGUAACUAUAACGGUCCUAAGGUAGCGAAAUUCCUUGUCGGGUAAGUUCCGACCCGCACGAAAGGCGUAACGAUUUGGGCACUGUCUCAACGAGAGACUCGGUGAAAUCAUAGUACCUGUGAAGAUGCAGGUUACCCGCGACAGGACGGAAAGACCCCGUGGAGCUUUACUGUAGCCUGAUAUUGAAAUUCGGCACAGCUUGUACAGGAUAGGUAGGAGCCUUUGAAACGUGAGCGCUAGCUUACGUGGAGGCGCUGGUGGGAUACUACCCUAGCUGUGUUGGCUUUCUAACCCGCACCACUUAUCGUGGUGGGAGACAGUGUCAGGCGGGCAGUUUGACUGGGGCGGUCGCCUCCUAAAAGGUAACGGAGGCGCUCAAAGGUUCCCUCAGAAUGGUUGGAAAUCAUUCAUAGAGUGUAAAGGCAUAAGGGAGCUUGACUGCGAGACCUACAAGUCGAGCAGGGUCGAAAGACGGACUUAGUGAUCCGGUGGUUCCGCAUGGAAGGGCCAUCGCUCAACGGAUAAAAGCUACCCCGGGGAUAACAGGCUUAUCUCCCCCAAGAGUUCACAUCGACGGGGAGGUUUGGCACCUCGAUGUCGGCUCAUCGCAUCCUGGGGCUGUAGUCGGUCCCAAGGGUUGGGCUGUUCGCCCAUUAAAGCGGUACGCGAGCUGGGUUCAGAACGUCGUGAGACAGUUCGGUCCCUAUCCGUCGUGGGCGUAGGAAAUUUGAGAGGAGCUGUCCUUAGUACGAGAGGACCGGGAUGGACAUACCUCUGGUGUACCAGUUGUCGUGCCAACGGCAUAGCUGGGUAGCUAUGUGUGGACGGGAUAAGUGCUGAAAGCAUCUAAGCAUGAAGCCCCCCUCAAGAUGAGAUUUCCCAACUUCGGUUAUAAGAUCCCUCAAAGAU
RNAcentral lists this ribosomal RNA (2585 nucleotides) under Staphylococcus aureus. RNAcentral describes it as "partial 23S ribosomal RNA". It matches the Rfam family "Bacterial large subunit ribosomal RNA", at positions 258 to 2845 of the family's 2925-position model. The record is from RNAcentral. Lineage: Bacteria; Bacillati; Bacillota; Bacilli; Caryophanales; Staphylococcaceae.